AUGGCAGGGAAACCCGGCAGCCUCAAGGGCGUCGCCCUCAUCAGCGGCGGUAGCGCCGACAGCGCUGUCGCCGGCGCCCUCCACUUCGUCGAAGACCCCUCCUCCGGGUAUACCGAGGUGAGGGGGAGGGUCUCGGGCCUCGCCCCGGGCCUCCACGGCUUCCACAUCCACGCCUUCGGCGACACCACCAACGGCUGCAACUCCACCGGACCCCAUUUCAAUCCUCAUAAUAAGUUCCAUGGAGCACCGAUGGAUGAUGAACGACAUGUGGGCGACCUGGGAAACAUACAAGCCAACAAGGAUGGUGUUGCAGAAAUCUUCAUAAAGGACUUGCAGAUUUCACUAAGGGGGCCUCAUUCCAUAUUGGGAAGGGCAGUUGUUGUUCAUGCUGAUUCUGAUGACCUGGGAAAGGGUGGCCAUGAACUCAGCAAGUCAACAGGAAAUGCAGGAGCCAGAAUUGGAUGUGGUAAAUGGCAAACCCUUCAUUUGUUUUCAACACUGAGCAAAUGCACGCACAAGGUGUAA
RNAcentral lists this ribosomal RNA (525 nucleotides) under Triticum aestivum (bread wheat). RNAcentral's name for it is "partial small subunit ribosomal RNA". Lineage: Eukaryota; Viridiplantae; Streptophyta; Magnoliopsida; Poales; Poaceae. The record is from RNAcentral.